This 249-nucleotide long non-coding RNA is filed under the name Mytilus galloprovincialis (Mediterranean mussel). The record is from RNAcentral. Lineage: Eukaryota; Metazoa; Mollusca; Bivalvia; Mytilida; Mytilidae.
CCUCUUUUUGUUUGUUUGUACUUUUAUUUCUUUUGUUUUUUUCUCUGUUUUACUUAAAUACAUUUUCCCCCCAGAUAUCACUUUCGUUGUGUGGAUUAACGUCUUUAGGUGCAAUGUUUUGUAAACUUCUAUGUGGAGUACCAUUAUAACUUUUUGCAAAAUUUUGUAAGUUGUUAAUAUAUUUAUGUGUUCUAUUCUUUGUGAAAAAGCGAAACAUUUUGUUUUUAAUAGUUUGUAGACCCUUUUCAG